AAAUUGAAGAGUUUGAUCAUGGCUCAGAUUGAACGCUGGCGGCAGGCCUAACACAUGCAAGUCGAACGGUAACAGGAAGAAGCUUGCUUCUUUGCUGACGAGUGGCGGACGGGUGAGUAAUGUCUGGGGAACUGCCUGAUGGAGGGGGAUAACUACUGGAAACGGUAGCUAAUACCGCAUAACGUCGCAAGACCAAAGAGGGGGACCUUCGGGCCUCUUGCCAUCGGAUGUGCCCAGAUGGGAUUAGCUAGUAGGUGGGGUAACGGCUCACCUAGGCGACGAUCCCUAGCUGGUCUGAGAGGAUGACCAGCCACACUGGAACUGAGACACGGUCCAGACUCCUACGGGAGGCAGCAGUGGGGAAUAUUGCACAAUGGGCGCAAGCCUGAUGCAGCCAUGCCGCGUGUAUGAAGAAGGCCUUCGGGUUGUAAAGUACUUUCAGCGGGGAGGAAGGGAGUAAAGUUAAUACCUUU
This 473-nucleotide ribosomal RNA is filed under the name Escherichia coli. RNAcentral's name for it is "bacterial SSU rRNA". It matches the Rfam family "Bacterial small subunit ribosomal RNA", at positions 1 to 470 of the family's 1533-position model. Lineage: Bacteria; Pseudomonadati; Pseudomonadota; Gammaproteobacteria; Enterobacterales; Enterobacteriaceae. The record is from RNAcentral.